GUCACCUCUAAAUUCCUCACAGAGAGUUUCCAGAGUCCUCUGGGGAUGUAGUACAGAGCAUAGCCUGCAUGCCUCUCCUUCUUCAUCUCCAUGGAAACUCUAGCACAUCUGGAAAUGUCUGGAGUCUGUCCAUGCACAGAAUAUAAUGCUUGACCUGGCCUCUUGGGUCCUUCCUUUGGACAUCACACAGUGGCAGAGGCCUUCAGCCCUGAAGACAACAUUUGGUUCCAGCAGGCCUGGCGUUGUUAGGAUGGAUGAGCCUUUUAACCUGCUUAGACCUCAGUUUUCUCACCUGUACAAUGAAGAUGAGGAUACUGAUACCCACAGAAGUUACAAGAUUUACACAAUACCCAAUAUCACAAGACAGCUGUUCUGGAAAUUUUGGUUGAAGGCCCUGGCAUCCUGCACAUACUCAGCUCCACAGUGAGGCUGUGGGGAAGACCCAGCCCAGCAACCUAGAGAAGAUGCCCAGAGCAAGAUGCUUUCUCCUAUCUUCCCAGCCCUUAAGCAGAUGCAUCUGCAUCCCAGC
This 529-nucleotide long non-coding RNA is filed under the name Heterocephalus glaber (naked mole-rat). Its description in RNAcentral is "lncRNA (ENSHGLG00000032790.1)". The record is from RNAcentral. Lineage: Eukaryota; Metazoa; Chordata; Mammalia; Rodentia; Bathyergidae.